GCGGACGGGUUAGUAACGCGUGGGAAUAUACCCUUUGGUACGGAAUAGCCUCUGGAAACGGAGAGUAAUACCGUAUGAGCCCUUCGGGGGAAAGAUUUAUCGCCAAAGGAUUAGCCCGCGUUAGAUUAGGUAGUUGGUGGGGUAAUGGCCUACCAAGCCUACGAUCUAUAGCUGGUUUUAGAGGAUGAUCAGCAACACUGGGACUGAGACACGGCCCAGACUCCUACGGGAGGCAGCAGUGGGGAAUCUUGGACAAUGGGGGCAACCCUGAUCCAGCCAUGCCGCGUGAGUGAUGAAGGCCUUAGGGUCGUAAAGCUCUUUCGCCUGUGAAGAUAAUGACGGUAGCAGGUAAAGAAACCCCGGCUAACUCCGUGCCAGCAGCCGCGGUAAUACGGAGGGGGUUAGCGUUGUUCGGAAUUACUGGGCGUAAAGCGCACGUAGGCGGACUGGAAAGUUGGGGGUGAAAUCCCAGGGCUCAACCCUGGAACUGCCUCCAAAACUAUCAGUCUAGAGUUCGAGAGAGGUGAGUGGAAUUCCGAGUGUAGAGGUGAAAUUCGUAGAUAUUCGGAGGAACACCAGUGGCGAAGGCGGCUCACUGGCUCGAUACUGACGCUGAGGUGCGAAAGUGUGGGGAGCAAACAGGAUUAGAUACCCUGGUAGUCCACACCGUAAACGAUGAAUGCCAGUCGUCGGGUAGCAUGCUAUUCGGUGACACACCUAACGGAUUAAGCA
This 732-nucleotide ribosomal RNA is filed under the name Ruegeria atlantica. RNAcentral describes it as "bacterial SSU rRNA". It matches the Rfam family "Bacterial small subunit ribosomal RNA", at positions 98 to 866 of the family's 1533-position model. The record is from RNAcentral. Lineage: Bacteria; Pseudomonadati; Pseudomonadota; Alphaproteobacteria; Rhodobacterales; Roseobacteraceae.